RNAcentral lists this ribosomal RNA (253 nucleotides) under uncultured bacterium. RNAcentral describes it as "partial 16S ribosomal RNA". It matches the Rfam family "Bacterial small subunit ribosomal RNA", at positions 524 to 776 of the family's 1533-position model. The record is from RNAcentral.
UACAGAGGGUGCAAGCGUUGUUCGGAAUUAUUGGGCGUAAAGCGCGUGUAGGCGGCUUGGCAAGUCGGGUGUGAAAUCUAUGGGCUCAACUCAUAGUCUGCAUCGGAAACUGCCGGGCUUGAGUGUGGGAGAGGUGAGUGGAAUUCCUGGUGUAGCGGUGAAAUGCGUAGAUAUCAGGAGGAACACCUGUGGCGAAAGCGGCUCACUGGACCAUAACUGACGCUGAUGCACGAAAGCUAGGGGAGCAAACAGG